GUAAUUGCAAGGUGCAGCGCUAAGCGCGAUUCGUCGGCCGGAUCGAAUGGCUAGAAACGGAUGGAACCGACUGGUGGAUCGUGGCAAAUGGUGCUGGGCGAAUUCUUGGGAAAAGUGCGCAGGUGGAACGGGAAUUUCGAUCGAGCCGAUUAUUUUAUUUUUGAUUCCCCAACUUUUGUGCAAAUGUUUGUCGAGUUGACAACGAUUUGAAGAUUUCACGACGGAGGAGGCGGACGAUUUUCCUCCGCUUUUCCAGUAACCAAGAAACUCGGACUUCGGACUUGAAACGAGUCUCAACAAGCAAAUAAGAUAAUCUACAUUAUAAACUCGGGGGUAGGGUGAGUAAACGACGAGGAGUUAUUUACUCGGCUCGGAAAGAGGGGAGAAAGGAAACAAAGUAAUAACAACGGAAUGAGAAUAAGAAGGUAGGUUUGAAUCCUUAGGUCGUGCCGCACAAACUUCAACAACUGCGCAGCCGCAUUAAGGCGGCUUUCUAUCGCGUUUAUUAUCCGCGGCAAAUGGCUUCUGCCAACCUCGUUUCUCUAAUUCCGUGAAUCCCGCCCCGCGAUGACCGUUCGAUCCUCCACUUUGUAUUCUAAUUCGUUGCCGAUUUCUAUAAAAUAUAUAGAAGCUUCCUUUGAAAUCGAGGAUUUUCGUUCGCUAGAGAAUUGUACUUUACGAAAGUUUUUAGAAAGAAUUAAGAGAAUAUUCGUU
This is a long non-coding RNA of Apis cerana (Asiatic honeybee), 714 nucleotides long. RefSeq lists it as uncharacterized. Lineage: Eukaryota; Metazoa; Arthropoda; Insecta; Hymenoptera; Apidae. The record is from RefSeq and is a predicted model, not a curated record.